This 498-nucleotide ribosomal RNA is filed under the name uncultured bacterium. Its description in RNAcentral is "bacterial SSU rRNA". It matches the Rfam family "Bacterial small subunit ribosomal RNA", at positions 28 to 507 of the family's 1533-position model. The record is from RNAcentral.
GGCUAACGCUGGCGGCGUGUCUUAGCCAUGCAGGUCGAGCGGACUUAUGGGGUAACUUAUAAGUCAGCGGCGGACGGCGGAGUAACACGUAGCUAACCUACCCUCUGGACGGGGAUAACCUACCGAAAGGUGGGCUAAUACCCGAUGUAGUCAUCCUGUAUAGGGGUGAUGAAAGGUGGGCUUCUGUUUACAAGCUCAUGCUGGAGGAGGGGGCUGCGGCCUAUCAGGUAGUUGGUAGGGUAAUAGCCUACCAAGCCGAUGACGGGUAGCCGGCCUGAGAGGGUGACCGGCCCGAGGGGCACUGAGAUACGGGUCCCACUCCUACGGGAGGCAGCAGGCUAGAAAUUUGGGCAAUGGGGGAAACCCUGACCCAGUGACGCCGCGUGCAGGAAGGAGCCCUUCGGGGUGUAAACUGCUGUCGUGUAGGGAGAAGGGUACUAAGGUGAACAAUCUUAGUACUUGACGGUACUACAGGAGGAAGCCCAGGCUAACCUCGUG